UCAAACCUGAGAGUUUGAUCCUGGCUCAGAACGAACGCUGGCGGCAGGCUUAACACAUGCAAGUCGAACGCCCCGCAAG
Molecule: ribosomal RNA, 79 nt
Filed under: Jiella endophytica
Lineage: Bacteria; Pseudomonadati; Pseudomonadota; Alphaproteobacteria; Hyphomicrobiales; Aurantimonadaceae
Description: Jiella sp. CBS5Q-3 partial 16S ribosomal RNA
Rfam family: Bacterial small subunit ribosomal RNA
Source: RNAcentral